CUUUGCUGUUGGUGGGGGCAGGGAGCAUGGUACAGGGGUGACUGAGUUCCUGCUUUGUUAGUUCCCACUGAAACUGAUUGACAAAAAGGGCCUGGCACCUCUCUCUUCUCUCUCUUUCUCUCUCUCACCAUGUGAUCUAUGCAUGCCUGUUCCCGUCUGCUUGCACUAAGAAUGGAAACAGCCUAAGUUCCUCACCAGAAGCAGAGGCUGGCACCAUGUUUGUUAUGCAGCCUGCAGAACCAGAAAUCAUGGGAAAAACUGCCCAUUUCUGUUUUGUCCACUUUGCUUUGGGAAGUGAGAGCUAUAGUCAUUAUCACCACAUCCCCUGGCAUCCAAUUCCGCUCCUAGGAAGAAGGAACUUGCCUUGUCUCAGAUCAGACUUUUGGACUUGGACUUUUGAGUUAAUGCUGGAAUGGAUUAAGACUUCGGGGGACUGUUGAGAAGGGAUGAUUGGUUUUGAAAUGUCAGGACAUGAGCUUUGGGAGGGAUCGGGGCAGAAUGAUUUGUGUCUCCACUCAUAUCUCAUCUUGAAUUAUAAUCCCCAGGUGUGGACAGAGAGAACUGGUGGGAAGUAAUUGAAUCAUAGGGGCAGUUCCUCCCAUGUGUUCUUGUGAGAGUGAGUUAGUUCUUUUGAGAUCAGGUGGUUUAAGCCAGUUUUUCCUGCCCUCUCUUGCACUCAUGCACUCUCUCUUCCCUGCCACCCUGUAAAAUAUGCCUGCUUCCUUUCUCCAUGGUUGUAAGUUUCCUGAGUCCCCCCAGCCAUGUAAAACUGGGGGUCAAUUAAACCACUUUUCUUCAUCAAUUA
Molecule: long non-coding RNA, 805 nt
Filed under: Homo sapiens (human)
Lineage: Eukaryota; Metazoa; Chordata; Mammalia; Primates; Hominidae
Description: non-protein coding LINC02232:22
Source: RNAcentral